UACGGGUGAGAUAAAUCCUAAGGGGGUACUAGGCUAAAAUGCAAAGGGUCAAAAGAAAGUUGAAAGAGUUGCGGGAGUUAAACUAAAUAUUUCGUUAACUUUCAAACAACAACUUCUCAGCUAUUUUUCUUUUCUUUUAUCUUUUUAUUCUCUUUUUCUUUUUCAAAUCAGAAAGAAUAUGUAAUUACAUCCUUCUUUUCUUUUUCAAUUUUUUUCUUUUUCUCUUUUUAUUCAAUUUUUUUCUUUUUCAAUUUUUUUUCUUUUUUUCUGCCAACUUUUUU
Molecule: long non-coding RNA, 281 nt
Filed under: Lathyrus oleraceus (garden pea)
Lineage: Eukaryota; Viridiplantae; Streptophyta; Magnoliopsida; Fabales; Fabaceae
Description: Pisum sativum (pea) long non-coding RNA (PSAT_LNC026737)
Source: RNAcentral